UGAAAUCUGUGAAGACGGGUAGGGACCAAAUACCAACGGUAUACUAAUUUAAAGUAUACUUCCUGUAAAUUCACCCCGUGUAUAUAUCUUUUUACUGCUUGUAGACCCAAUAACCAAUCCUCGACCGAAGAUGAAAAAUGAAGUUCUUGCUCCCAUUUACUCAUUGCUGGCACUUUAUCUAUUUGCCUUUCACUUCUUAAAAAUUGAUUGAAUCUAGAUACAAUCUUCUUUUUGUAAUGGUAUUCCAUGAACUGAUCUAUUAGAG
Molecule: non-coding RNA, 265 nt
Organism: Pelobates cultripes (western spadefoot toad)
Lineage: Eukaryota; Metazoa; Chordata; Amphibia; Anura; Pelobatidae
Source: the annotation of a GenBank genome assembly